UAAGUAGGGGGCAAGCGUUAUCCGGAUUUACUGGGUGUAAAGGGCGUGUAGGCGGGACUGCAAGUCAGAUGUGAAACCCAUGGGCUCAACCCAUGGCCUGCAUUUGAAACUGUAGUUCUUGAGUGAUGGAGAGGCAGGCGGAAUUCCGUGUGUAGCGGUGAAAUGCGUAGAUAUACGGAGGAACACCAGUGGCGGAGGCGGCUUACUGGACGGUAACUGACGCUGAGGCUCGAAAGCGUGGGGAGCAAACAGG
This 253-nucleotide ribosomal RNA is filed under the name uncultured Oscillospira sp. RNAcentral describes it as "partial 16S ribosomal RNA". It matches the Rfam family "Bacterial small subunit ribosomal RNA", at positions 524 to 776 of the family's 1533-position model. The record is from RNAcentral. Lineage: Bacteria; Bacillati; Bacillota; Clostridia; Eubacteriales; Oscillospiraceae.